UACGAAGGGGGCUAGCGUUGUUCGGAUUAACUGGGCGUAAAGGGUGCGUAGGCGGGUUUUUAAGUCAGGGGUGAAAUCCCGAGGCUCAACCUCGGAACUGCCUUUGAUACUGGAAAUCUUGAGUCUGGGAGAGGUGAGUGGAACUGCGAGUGUAGAGGUGAAAUUCGUAGAUAUUCGCAAGAACACCGGUGGCGAAGGCGGCUACACUGGCCCCGGAACUG
RNAcentral lists this ribosomal RNA (221 nucleotides) under uncultured bacterium. RNAcentral's name for it is "partial 16S ribosomal RNA". It matches the Rfam family "Bacterial small subunit ribosomal RNA", at positions 524 to 742 of the family's 1533-position model. The record is from RNAcentral.